Non-coding RNA from Vicia faba (fava bean), 333 nucleotides. NCBI's taxonomy places the organism in Eukaryota, Viridiplantae, Streptophyta, Magnoliopsida, Fabales, Fabaceae. The record is from the annotation of a GenBank genome assembly.
AUGCUGCAGCAGAAUCAUUACUAUACAAGGAAAAUCUAUCUCACCAUUGCUGAACAGCAUCAGGUAGUCAAUUGGAGGAAGUUAUGGUAUGGCAACAUGGCGAGGCCGAGAGCUCUUUGCACCCUUUGGAUGGCUUGUCAGAAUCAUCUAGCUACGAAAGAAAGACUUCAAAGGUUUGGUAUUAUUGAUAAUGAUGAGUGCUGCUUUUGCAAGGAAAAAGAAACAGUUCGCCAUCUUCUUUUUGCUUGUCCAAGGCUGAAAAAAGUUUGGAUUCAUGUCCUCAACUGGCUUGCAAGUGAAGCACAAUCCGUUGAGUUGGAACGAGGAGCUUGA